This 727-nucleotide ribosomal RNA is filed under the name Liolaemus cf. quilmes 2. Its description in RNAcentral is "partial 12S ribosomal RNA". It matches the Rfam family "Bacterial small subunit ribosomal RNA", at positions 297 to 1368 of the family's 1533-position model. Lineage: Eukaryota; Metazoa; Chordata; Lepidosauria; Squamata. The record is from RNAcentral.
AAAGCGCCAAGGAGCAGGUAUCAGGCACAACCUAUUAGCCCAAAACACCUUGCUACGCCACACCCACACGGGCACCCAGCAGUGAUAAAUAUUAAGCAAUGAGUAAAAGCUAACUAAAGCUCGACUUAGUUAUGAUUAUUAGGGCCGGUAAACCUCGUGCCAGCCACCGCGGUUAUACGAGGGGCCCAAAACAACAGACACCGGCGUAAAUUGUGACUAGAGCACUUACUUACAUCAUUGGAAAAUAAACAAAAACUCAAUCGUAAAACCUGAGCCAAAAGAGACACACUUUUCCAACUACGAAGAAGCUUGAACCCACGAAGACUAAGAAACAAACUAGGAUUAGAUACCCUACUAUGCUUAGUUGUUAAUAUGAUACCAAAAACCAUGGUAUCCGCCAGAAAAUUACACGCGAAAAGCUUAAAACUCAAAGGACUUGGCGGUGCUCCGUAUUCGCCUUAGAGGAGCCUGUCCUAUAAUCGAUAACCCACGCUUUACCUUACCAUCUUUUGUCAAAGCAGCCUAUAUACCGCCGUCGCAAACUUACCCCAUAAGGGCAUAAUAGUAAGUAAAACAGUAACACACUAACACGUCAGGUCAAGGUGUAGCUAAUAAGAUGGAAGAGAUGGGCUACAUUUUCUAAAACAGAAUACACGGCAAAGAGCAUUGAAACAUGCUCUAAAAGGUGGAUUUAAUAGUAAGAUAGAAAAGAAGGCCUAUCUAAAAA